AGAGUUUGAUCCUGGCUCAGGACGAACGCUGGCGGCGUGCCUAACACAUGCAAGUCGAGCGAGAAUCUUUCAGAUGAUUCCUUCGGGAUGAAUUUGGAAGAGGAAAGCGGCGGACGGGUGAGUAACGCGUGAGUAACCUGCCCAUAAGAGGGGGACAACAUCGAGAAAUUGAUGCUAAUACCGCAUAUUGAGUGAGAAUCGCAUGGUUUUCACUUGAAAGAUUUAUCGCUUAUGGAUGGACUCGCGUCUGAUUAGCUAGUUGGUGAGGUAACGGCUCACCAAGGCGACGAUCAGUAGCCGAACUGAGAGGUUGAUCGGCCACAUUGGGACUGAGACACGGCCCAGACUCCUACGGGAGGCAGCAGUGGGGGAUAUUGCGCAAUGGGGGCAACCCUGACGCAGCAACGCCGCGUGAAGGAAAGAAGGCCUUCGGGGGUUGUAAACUUCUGUCUUUAGGGAAGAAGAAAGUGACGGUACCUAAGGAGGAAGCCACGGCUAACUACGUGCCAGCAGCCGCGGU
This 520-nucleotide ribosomal RNA is filed under the name uncultured bacterium. Its description in RNAcentral is "bacterial SSU rRNA". It matches the Rfam family "Bacterial small subunit ribosomal RNA", at positions 8 to 521 of the family's 1533-position model. The record is from RNAcentral.